This 28-nucleotide non-coding RNA is filed under the name Bombyx mori (domestic silkworm). Lineage: Eukaryota; Metazoa; Arthropoda; Insecta; Lepidoptera; Bombycidae. The record is from RNAcentral.
UCUUGAUGUGUUCCACGACAAGUUGCGU